ACCAGACUACUAACUCUACUUAUUAAAUUAAAUAACUAUAAACUAAAACAUUCUUAUAAUUUUAGUAUGGGCGACAGAAAUAAUAUUUAGACGUAAUAAAGUACCGUAAGGGAACGUUGAAAAAGAAUUUAAACAAACAACAAAAGUAAAAAAAAGCAAAGAUUAAUUCCUGUACCUUUUGCAUAAUGAUCUAGCCAGUCAAUACAAGGCAAAAAGACUUUAAGUCAUAACCCCGAAACUAGACGAGCUAUUUAGGAGUAAUCUAUAACAGGAUUAAUUCAUCUCUGUGGCAAAAGAGUGAAAAAACUUCUAAAUAGAGGUGAUAUACCUACCAAGCCUAGUGAUAGCUGGUUGCUCAAGAAACGAGUUUAAGCUCAUCCUUAAUUCUUAUUUAAUUAAUUAAAUAAACUAAUGAAAAUUUAAGAGAUAUUUAAAAGGGGUACAGCCCUUUUAAAAAAGGACACAACCUAUUACAAUGGGUAAUGAUUAUAAUACUUUUAAAUUACCCAAGUAAGCCUAAAAGCAGCUACCUAUUCAGAAAGCGUCAUAGCUCAAGUAAUUCAACAACCAAAUUCCAAUAUUCACUCAAAACCCAUCAACCCUAUUGAGCCUACCUAUAUUAUUAUAGUUAAAUUUAUGCUAGAAUAAGUAAUAAGAAACACAAAUUUCUCUUAACAUACGUGUAAAUCAGUAUGAAUAAAUCACUGAUAAUUAUCGAUAUAUGAGCCUUAAUUGAUUAUACACUAGAAAUAAAACCUAAUUUUAUCGUUAACCCUACACAGGAAUGUCUUAAGGAAAGACUAAAAGAUAAAGAAGGAACUCGGCAAACCUUUAAGCUUCGCCUGUUUACCAAAAACAUCACCUCUAGCUAACAACAUAUAUUAGAGGCACUGCCUGCCCAGUGACUACGUUCAACGGCCGCGGUAUUCUGACCGUGCAAAGGUAGCAUAAUCACUUGUCUUUUAAAUUAAGACUAGUAUGAACGGCAACACGAAAGCCUAACUGUCUCCUUUAUCCAGUCAAUGAAAUUGAUCUUCUCGUGAAAAAGCGAGAAUACAUUAACAAGACGAGAAGACCCUAUGGAACUUUAAACACAUUAACCACUUUUUCAUUUUACCUACUAUACAAUAUAAAAAAUCUGGUAUACUGUUUUUGGUUGGGGUGACCAAGGAGAAAAAUAUAACCUCCAUGAACCACACUAAGACUAACAUAAUCAAAGUAUUAAAAUUUUAAAUUUAUGACCCAAUAAACUUGAUCAACGAACCAAGCUACCCUAGGGAUAACAGCGCAAUCUUCUCCAAGAGCCCAUAUCGCCAAGAAGGUUUACGACCUCGAUGUUGGAUCAGGAUUACCAGACAGUGCAGCCGCCGUCAAAGGUUUGUUUGUUCAACAAUUAAAAUCCUACGUGAUCUGAGUUCAGACCGGAGUAAUCCAGGUCAGUUUCUAUCUAUUCAAUAAUCCAUUUUAGUACGAAAGGACCAAAUGGAUAAAGCCAAUAUAUAAUACAAGCUUCAACAUAAUUAAUGAUUUAGACUAAAUUUAAUUAUAAAAUAUACCUCUAAAACAGAGCUUU
This 1573-nucleotide ribosomal RNA is filed under the name Gegeneophis ramaswamii (Tenmalai caecilian). Its description in RNAcentral is "16S ribosomal RNA". It matches the Rfam family "Bacterial large subunit ribosomal RNA". Lineage: Eukaryota; Metazoa; Chordata; Amphibia; Gymnophiona; Indotyphlidae. The record is from RNAcentral.